UGGGGAUCAGCGGCCUCCGGGCCCCUGUCCCCCAAAUGAAGUGGCGGUCGCGCCGCAGCCUCCCCUGCGUAGUAGCACAACCUCGCACCGGAGAGCGGCACGGCCACGCCUUGAAACCCCCAUAUUUCUAAGGUUGACCUCGGAUCAGGUAGGAAUACCCGCUGAACUUAAGCAUAUCAAUAAGCGGAGGAAAAGAAACCAACAGGGAUUGCCUCAGUAACGGCGAGUGAAGCGGCAACAGCUCAAAUUUGAAAUCUGGCCUCACGGUCCGAGUUGUAAUUUGCAGAGGAUGCUUUUGGCGAGGUGCCUUCCGAGUUCCCUGGAACGGGACGCCAUAGAGGGUGAGAGCCCCGUACGGUAGGACCACCGAGCCUCUGUAAAGCUCCUUCGACGAGUCGAGUAGUUUGGGAAUGCUGCUCUAAAUGGGAGGUGUACGUCUUCUAAAGCUAAAUACCGGCCAGAGACCGAUAGCGCACAAGUAGAGUGAUCGAAAGAUGAAAAGCACUUUGAAAAGAGGGUUAAAAAGUACGUGAAAUUGUUGAAAGGGAAGCAUUUAUGACCAGACUUGGACUUGGUUGAACAUCCGGCGUUCUCGCCGGUGCACUCUGCCAGUUCAGGCCAGCAUCAGUUUGCUCCGGGGGAUAAAGGCGGUGGGAAUGUGGCUCCCUCGGGAGUGUUAUAGCCCGCCGUGUAAUGCCCUGGGGCGGACUGAGGAACGCG
This 720-nucleotide small RNA is filed under the name Sarocladium hominis. RNAcentral describes it as "eukaryotic LSU rRNA". The stretch from base 135 to 720 matches the Rfam family "Eukaryotic large subunit ribosomal RNA", at positions 1 to 597 of the family's 3401-position model. Lineage: Eukaryota; Fungi; Ascomycota; Sordariomycetes; Hypocreales; Sarocladiaceae. The record is from RNAcentral.